UACGAAGGGGGCUAGCGUUGCUCGGAAUCACUGGGCGUAAAGCGCACGUAGGCGGCUUUUUAAGUCAGGGGUGAAAUCCUGGAGCUCAACUCCAGAACUGCCUUUGAUACUGAGAAGCUUGAGUCCGGGAGAGGUGAGUGGAACUGCGAGUGUAGAGGUGAAAUUCGCAGAUAUUCGCAAGAACACCAGUGGCGAAGGCGGCUCACUGGCCCGGUACUGACGCUGAGGUGCGAAAGCGUGGGGAGCAAACAGG
RNAcentral lists this ribosomal RNA (253 nucleotides) under uncultured bacterium. RNAcentral's name for it is "partial 16S ribosomal RNA". It matches the Rfam family "Bacterial small subunit ribosomal RNA", at positions 524 to 776 of the family's 1533-position model. The record is from RNAcentral.